Long non-coding RNA from Oreochromis aureus, 1734 nucleotides. The record is from Ensembl. NCBI's taxonomy places the organism in Eukaryota, Metazoa, Chordata, Actinopteri, Cichliformes, Cichlidae.
UUUUAAUUGUGCCUUGAGUUGUCAAAUAGAACAUUUGUGGUUUUGAAGCUGAUGUAUGUGAUGACGCAAUGAGGGGGCGUCACUAAAUAUACUCUGAUGCAUAUAAAACUGUAUUUUGAUGUUAGGAGGAUGAGAUUGUGGGGCUGUCUGCUUACAGAGUCCGCUCAUUCUCCCACGCGUGUCAUUUCAUUAAAAUCAUCGUCUUUACCCUUUGGACCAGUGUGGUUACUUGCAUUCCUCCUGUGUUUCCUUCCCUAUAUUUUUGAACCUUAACAUUUGGGGGCUUCGUCCGAGGGGAAGUGAGACAGGACGGAGAAAGGUCCGAGGCGUCAGGCGCUCAGGCAUUGGUCAGUGGUCAAAGUGAGUGACAAGCCGGCAUAUAACAAAAAGAACCAGUGUGUCCCCUAGAUCUGAUAACACCCUUGCCCAGUUGGCUCCUGUAGUAGGCGGGCAUGGAAGGCUGGACAGCCCAUGACGGGUAAGAUCCCACCUCGAAACCCUGGGACAACCUAAGGCAAGGCGCAGUCACGAUUGCUCGAACCUAAGUCCCGGAGUGACCUUGGAGUCACUGGAGGAGACGGGAUUUAACAGGUAAGGCCACUGGGCACAGGCGGAGGGGAAAUGUCAUUAACAAUGACCAGUGAUGAACCAGAGAGAGAAAAUACACCCUGUCAAAAGGAGUUUGGAACACUGGAAAAGAAACAUUUACAAGAUCACAAAGAUCAUAAAGAAACAUUUAUAAGAAUCACACAUACAAACAGAAAAUGCACUAACCUUACAGAGACAAGCUCAUGAAGAUUAAUGAACAGAUAAUGACUUAAAACCUGGCUAAGAACACAAACAUACGUAAUUAAAUCAGCCUGCUAAUUUCAUGAGGGUUAAAAUGGUGUGAAUGGUUAAUACAAUUGAUGGAAAGAUUUAAAAAGAUGGAAAAACAAAAGAAAAGUCUCUAUAAGAGUGACUCAGGAGUGCUCUCGCACUGAUUUAUCAAAGUAAGUGAUUAGUAUAGAAAGAAAAUGAAAAUAAUUCAAUAAUGUGAUAAGGUUUAAACAUGUAUUCCUCUUGUUGAGUUGGCUGUUGAGCUGUGGGUUUAUGCAAAUUAGCUGGAGUGAGUGAGUGACAAAGACACUUCCUGUGUGCGUGUGUGUCGGAGGCUUUCAGUUCAAGAGAGAUCGGGGCUGAUGAAGAGUAUUGGGAGAAAUAUAUAAUGGUAAAGUAUCAGGAUAUUUGAUUACGGUGGUCAGGUCUGUUCAGAGGGGCAGAUUUGGACAGGAAAUUUAUAAUUUAAGGAUGAUACGUUGUUGAAAUUGGUUUUUAUCUUGUGCUGAAUGAAAACGGUCUUUGAUCUUUUGACGAGGUUUUCGGUGUGUUGAAUGGGUGAAAUUUAAGAUUGUUUUAGAUUUUUGAGGCUGUUGUUUCUAUUUCAAGAGAGGGAGUUUUGAUAAACAUGGACAUGUCUAAAAGGGCCCAUAGUUUUUGUAACAGUGCACUUAGAGAAAAAACCUGUCAGGUGAUUUUGUUUUGUACUUUGAUGAGCUAAUAAUUAGCUCUCUUUUUCAUUUUUGUUCUAAGCAGGCCUGGAAGAGAGUGAACCGACGACGCUGACAAAGUUACCAAGUACGAAAAUCAGGUGGGCAGUACGGAUUAUAAUUGAUUACAAUCAGAGACUGAUUGGCGGCGAGUCUCUGUCUAAAAAUGGGUUGUAUCGAUUCAAUCCAGUCAAAAGUAUAGAGA